CAGUAGCCGCGGUAAUACAGAGGGUGCAAGCGUUAAUCGGAAUUACUGGGCGUAAAGCGCGCGUAGGUGGUUUGUUAAGUUGAAUGUGAAAUCCCCGGGCUCAACCUGGGAACUGCAUCCAAAACUGGCAAGCUAGAGUAGGGCAGAGGGUGGUGGAAUUUCCUGUGUAGCGGUGAAAUGCGUAGAUAUAGGAAGGAACACCAGUGGCGAAGGCGACCACCUGGGCUCAUACUGACACUGAGGUGCGAAAGCGUGGGGAGCAAACAGGAUUAGAUACCCCGGUAGUCCCUGUCUCUUAUAA
Molecule: ribosomal RNA, 301 nt
Filed under: uncultured bacterium
Lineage: Bacteria
Description: partial 16S ribosomal RNA
Rfam family: Bacterial small subunit ribosomal RNA
Source: RNAcentral